UGGGGAAUAUUGCACAAUGGGCGAAAGCCUGAUGCAGCGACGCCGCGUGAGGGACGACGGCCUUCGGGCUGUAAACCUCUUUCGACAGGGACGAAGCGAGAGUGACGGUACCUGUAUAAGAGGCACCGGCCAACUACGUG
RNAcentral lists this ribosomal RNA (140 nucleotides) under uncultured bacterium. RNAcentral describes it as "partial 16S rRNA". It matches the Rfam family "Bacterial small subunit ribosomal RNA", at positions 355 to 507 of the family's 1533-position model. The record is from RNAcentral.